Molecule: long non-coding RNA, 711 nt
Organism: Eubalaena glacialis (North Atlantic right whale)
Lineage: Eukaryota; Metazoa; Chordata; Mammalia; Artiodactyla; Balaenidae
Exons: 3
Source: RefSeq, a predicted model, not a curated record
AAUAAUGAUAAUGAUUUCAUUGUAUGAUUCUUCAAUGCAAAGAACUUAUUUCUCAUUGUGCCUCUAGCACUUUAACAAGAUAUUUGUGGAAUGAAUGAAUCACAAAUGAAGUGAGAAGAUCUGCGAAGUUAAAUCUGAGAAACGGAAGAAGCAGAUGCAGAAGAUUAAUCCAGCCUCCUGAGACCAGCCAUGAACUUCCCUCAGAGAUCUGUCUGCAAAAGCCGAGAUCAGAAAAGUUGUUAAACCACAGGCUGGGCCCCACGUCUAAAUAUGGACCAAGGAUCAUGAACAUUUGAGGAAAGCCUCUAACAUGAAAAGACAAGAGAAUCCUAAAGAAGAGCAAAGUGGGGGCUUCCCUGGUGGCGCAGUGGUUGAGAAUCUGCCUGCCAAUGCAGGGGACACGGGUUCGAGCCCUGGUCUGGGAAGAUCCCACAUGCCGCGGAGCAACUAGGCCCGUGAGCCACAACUACUGAGCCUGCGCGUCUGGAGCCUGUGCUCCGCAACAAGAGAGGCCGCGAUAGUGAGAGGCCCGCGCACCGCGAUGAAGAGUGGCCCCCACUUGCCGCAACUAGAGAAAGCCCUAGCACAGAAACGAAGACCCAACAUAGCAAUCAAUCAAUCAAUGAAUCAAUAAAUCUUUGAAAAAAAAAACAACAAAAAAAGAAGAGCAAAGUGGGAAGACUUUCCAUCCCAGAUAUCAAGACUAGUUAU